Long non-coding RNA from Panicum virgatum (switchgrass), 766 nucleotides. RefSeq lists it as uncharacterized. Lineage: Eukaryota; Viridiplantae; Streptophyta; Magnoliopsida; Poales; Poaceae. The transcript is spliced from 2 exons. The record is from RefSeq and is a predicted model, not a curated record.
ACAUCUGUAGAAUGUUGUUCCAGGGAUAUAAAGUGGAAAGGACAAUAGUCCUUGGUUGAACGCAUCAAAAAUUUUCCACAGAUCCCCAGAUAAUACCGACGCCACGUAACCGAUCAUCCAUUUGGCAGCAAUACCAAAUAUCAUCUGCACACAGAUAGUGUGUGUGUGUGUAAGUUUUCACACACGAGUUGUUCAAAAUUUUUCAUUAAUCCUAUACGGACAUUAUAAAUUCGUUCUCCGCAUCAAAAGUACUUGGAUCAGCGCAAUCUGUAUUGACCAGUCUUCCCAUCACUCGAACUGUGGCUACAUGUAAGUGAAUGUGUGUUUUCAACUUUACAUGACUGUUAUUAAACUAACCCUUUUCGUACGAUGUAUUCGUGAGUAAGGUAUUCCAGUUGUUAUUCCCAAAAUAGGUGCAAGUUAUGAUUCUGGUAUUUGGGAUCCUGACAAUGCUACCGAUGCUCCAGAAGAAGAAGAUUUGGAUUGUAGACAACCUGAUGAGUGCGACCAGGCAACUUAUGUAGAUGACAAUGCUAGGGUAGUCCUAGGGGUGGUAAAGGGCUUUGAAAUUUGGCCUAGAGAAUCUAUGGGCCGAGCUCUAAUCCCAUAUAAUUUUGACCUAAAAUAUUUAAGAGCCAUGUUGGGCUGUGAAGAUGACACUAGCGCCAUGGCCCAUUACCACCCCUAGGUAUUCCAUGAAUGAGGUACAAAACAUUUACAUCGGGAUGAUGGGGUAUAUGCAUCUUUAAUUCAGUAUCAUUUUGUU